CCUCCAAAGGGAAGUACUUUCU
RNAcentral lists this microRNA (22 nucleotides) under Macaca mulatta (Rhesus monkey). Its description in RNAcentral is "Mml-Mir-430-P31_5p* (star (passenger))". The record is from RNAcentral. Lineage: Eukaryota; Metazoa; Chordata; Mammalia; Primates; Cercopithecidae.